GUUCCACUUAGCUAUGGAAGGUCUGAAUUAGGAGGCCAGCUCCUUGGUGGGCAGCAGCCUGCAGUUCCUGGUCCCUAUGUGGCUGAGGCAGAUGUAGUGCAUCUUGAGAGACUCUGUGGCACAGUGGGAUCAGGUGCUCAAGCAAGCUGAGCCAGCGCUGCAUUUGCACACCUCUUGAGUAACUUCAGUAUGGCCUGAAUAUUCAGAGGGACAAAAAAAAUAUCCUCCUUCACAUAGAAAUUUGUUUAAGAGGAGUCCGCUUCUAAUUCCCUGGAUCACGUGUGCUGGUACAAGGAACCUAGAGCAUCUGCUCAGCAAGUGGUGGAGCAAGUGUUAACAGUCACCUGCAGUGAGACCUCAGCUGCACCCACUGAUUGCUGAGAUUUUUCAGCCCGGCAGCCUCAGAGACUUGGGAAUUGUUUUCCUGCUCUAAGGAGGAACUCUUCAGGGAGAAACUUAGCCAUCGAAGCAUUCUUCCUAGAAAGAUCAUUGCAAGCUAGAACUGUGUGUGUGCAUCCUAUCAGCUGUGAGCAGCCAUGUACAGCAGGUAAAGGAAAGGUGUACAGUGCCAGCCAGGACUCAACUCCAGAGAAGCAGAACGCAAGGUGCACUCCACCGCUUCUUUCUGGGUGCUGCACAGCACUUCCCCACACUAAGGAGAUGCAGCAGGCACUAAAGAUGAGAUCACAACUGAGCCAAACCCUAAAAGUGAAGCAGUGUGGUUCAAGAGCAGAUCAGAGACUGUGUCACUGGAAAGAUGAUCCUGCUGCUUCUCUCGUAUGUAUUUACUUUCAAUUCCUUUACUCCCUUGUUCACCUUCUGUUAUACCUCCCCCUCAAAUACCUUAUUUCAUGCAGGGGCUGCAGAUAUUCUUUUU
Molecule: long non-coding RNA, 877 nt
Filed under: Numida meleagris (helmeted guineafowl)
Lineage: Eukaryota; Metazoa; Chordata; Aves; Galliformes; Numididae
Description: lncRNA (ENSNMEG00000013945.1)
Source: RNAcentral